This 90-nucleotide transfer RNA is filed under the name Marinospirillum sp. RNAcentral's name for it is "tRNA-Ser". It matches the Rfam family "tRNA". From Rfam's summary of the family: Transfer RNA (tRNA) molecules are approximately 80 nucleotides in length. Their secondary structure includes four short double-helical elements and three loops (D, anti-codon, and T loops). The record is from RNAcentral. Lineage: Bacteria; Pseudomonadati; Pseudomonadota; Gammaproteobacteria; Oceanospirillales; Oceanospirillaceae.
GGAGGGUUGGCUGAGUGGUCGAAAGCAUCGGUCUUGAAAACCGACGAGGGUGUGAGCCCUCCCAGGGUUCGAAUCCCUGGCCCUCCACCA